CUGAGGAAUUCUAGUCUUCGGAUUAGAGCCGGGUUGGGUUAAAGGAAGCUUCUAAUCAGAAUGUCUACAUUUUAAGAUUAGAUCUCAAAUCAGGUAGGACUACCCGCUGAACUUAAGCAUAUCAAUAAGCGGAGGAAAAGAAACUAACAAGGAUUCCCCUAGUAGCGGCGAGCGAAGCGGGAAGAGCUCAAAUUUAUAAUCUGGCACCUUCGGUGUCCGAGUUGUAAUCUCUAGAAAUGUUUUCCGCGUUGGACCGCACACAAGUCUGUUGGAAUACAGCGGCAUAGUGGUGAGACCCCCGUAUAUGGUGCGGACGCCCAGCGCUUUGUGAUACAUUUUCGAAGAGUCGAGUUGUUUGGGAAUGCAGCUCAAAUUGGGUGGUAAAUUCCAUCUAAAGCUAAAUAUUGGCGAGAGACCGAUAGCGAACAAGUACCGUGAGGGAAAGAUGAAAAGCACUUUGGAAAGAGAGUUAACAGUACGUGAAAUUGUUGGAAGGGAAACGCUUGAAGUCAGACUUGCUUGCUGAGCAAUCGGUUUGCAGGCCAGCAUCAGUUUUCCGGGAUGGAUAAUGGUAGAGAGAAGGUAGCAGUUUCGGCUGUGUUAUAGCUCUCUGCUGGAUACAUCUUGGGGGACUGAGGAACGCAGUGUGCCUUUGGCGGGGGUU
This 664-nucleotide ribosomal RNA is filed under the name Rhodotorula mucilaginosa. RNAcentral's name for it is "eukaryotic LSU rRNA". The stretch from base 80 to 664 matches the Rfam family "Eukaryotic large subunit ribosomal RNA", at positions 1 to 577 of the family's 3401-position model. Lineage: Eukaryota; Fungi; Basidiomycota; Microbotryomycetes; Sporidiobolales; Sporidiobolaceae. The record is from RNAcentral.